ACGCUCGACACCUACGGGAGCAGCAGUGAGGAAUAUUGGUCAAUGGACGCAAGUCUGAACCAGCCAUGCCGCGUGCAGGAUGACGGCUCUAUGAGUUGUAAACUGCUUUUGUACGAGGGUAAACGCAGAUACGUGUAUCUGUCUGAAAGUAUCGUACGAAUAAGGAUCGGCUAACUCCGUGCCAACAGCCGCCGGUAAUCUGAGCGGGCGUGGCGAAGGCG
This 221-nucleotide ribosomal RNA is filed under the name uncultured bacterium. RNAcentral describes it as "partial 16S ribosomal RNA". It matches the Rfam family "Bacterial small subunit ribosomal RNA", at positions 328 to 544 of the family's 1533-position model. The record is from RNAcentral.